CCUACGGGAGGCAGCAGUAAGGAAUAUUGGUCAAUGGACGCAAGUCUGAACCAGCCAUGCCGCGUGAAGGAUGAAGGCCCUCUGGGUUGUAAACUUCUUUUACAGGGGACGAAAAAAAGGGAAUUCUUUCUCACUUGACGGUACCCUGGGAAUAAGCACCGGCUAACUCCGUGCCAGCAGCCGCGGUAAUACGGAGGGUGCAAGCGUUAUCCGGAUUCACUGGGUUUAAAGGGUGCGUAGGUGGGCAUUUAAGUCAGUGGUGAAAUCUCCGGGCUUAACCCGGAAACUGCCAUUGAUACUAUUUGUCUUGAAUAUUGUGGAGGUAAGCGGAAUAUGUCAUGUAGCGGUGAAAUGCUUAGAUAUGACAUAGAACACCCAUUGCGAAGGCAGCUUACUACGCAAAUAUUGACACUGAGGCACGAAAGCGUGGGGAUCAAACAGGAUUAGAUACCCUGGUAGUCCACGCCCUAAACGAUGGAUACUCGACAUCAGCGAUACACAGUUGGUGUCUGAGCGAAAGCAUUAAGUAUCCCACCUGGGAAGUACGACCGCAAGGUUGAAAACUCAAAGGAAUUAGACGG
RNAcentral lists this ribosomal RNA (581 nucleotides) under uncultured bacterium. RNAcentral's name for it is "bacterial SSU rRNA". It matches the Rfam family "Bacterial small subunit ribosomal RNA", at positions 338 to 917 of the family's 1533-position model. The record is from RNAcentral.